GACAGCAGAGGGAGCCCCUGCAUGACUUAAGAAAACCGAAGGCAGGCAGAACAGAGACUUUUCAGGGUGCGAAGUUACGCAUGGUGCCCUCUACUGGAGUCACUGGUAAAGAGUUUUGAUUUCAAAAAGAAAUUGACGUAGAAUUUGUUCUUGUUCCAUUGUAUUGGUGAAGAAACUGAAGUUCAAAGUAAUUGGCAGAACAUACUACUUUGGGCAGUAUGGGAGUAGAGGCCUAUGGACGACCAGCAACAGGCUAGGGAUAAGAGUGGAGAUCUGAAUACAAGAAACUAGUAUUCAGGAUACGGGUCCUGGUUGUGAUUCUCUCCUAAUCCUUCGUGUGACUGGAGUUAUGUCGUGUGACUCUCAUAAACAAUGGGUUUUCCUUCUUUGUACGUAAUAGUUGGCAGAAGUGGUUACGUCCUUGCCACAAGGAAAAAGUCUCAUGAGAUGAUUAAUCUAAAACUUAUUUUAGAAAUAUAAAGGACUUUAUGAAUUCAAGGCAGUAUAUUAAGAAAAUAUCCCCUCAAACAAUGAACCAAUGAGACUGGCAAAGAUCUUGAUUUUCCUGAUUUUCAUUUAGAUUCUUAACAUUUGAGUCCAUUGAUAUAUUCGAAGCUCUACCCUUCUGGAAAAUAUCAUAAGAUUUGAAAAAUAUAGCUGCAAAGAGCAAAAGAAGAUUUGCGUCUCAAUAGAAAAGAUCUACAGAUUGAAUAUUGCAUAGAAAACAAUUUAUUCACCUUACAAAGAUAAAAGGAUGAAAACGCCCUGAGCAGUAAUAAAACUUCGCCAUUUUGGGGAGGGCCUCAAGAGGCUAUCUUAUCAAUCUUGGUCGUUGGAAAAGUAUCUGUAAUCUCAAAGAAAACUUUAAAUACUGUCCAAGGAAAAUAUCCAAAUACAUCUUAAAAUG
This 907-nucleotide long non-coding RNA is filed under the name Homo sapiens (human). RNAcentral's name for it is "HSALNT0321439". Lineage: Eukaryota; Metazoa; Chordata; Mammalia; Primates; Hominidae. The record is from RNAcentral.